RNAcentral lists this ribosomal RNA (754 nucleotides) under Coolia tropicalis. Its description in RNAcentral is "partial large subunit ribosomal RNA". It matches the Rfam family "Eukaryotic large subunit ribosomal RNA", at positions 92 to 817 of the family's 3401-position model. Lineage: Eukaryota; Dinophyceae; Peridiniales; Ostreopsidaceae. The record is from RNAcentral.
AAUGAAUGAGCACACAUUCAACAUGAAAAACAAAUUGUUAUGAUCUUGUAUUGUAAUUUCAUGAUGCAGCAUUAAUGGAACUGCAUGAAAAGAUAUUCUUGAAACGGCAUGUCAAAGAUGGUGAAAGCCCAAUGGCUUCAUGUGCUUUCUGUGCACGGUCUGCAUUUGGUGAUUCACAUUCCUUGGCAAUGGAAUGCAAACAGGUGGUAAAUUCCAUCCAAUAUAACAAUACAACAUUGAGGCUGAUAACAAACAAGUACCAUGAGGGAAAUAUGAAAAGGACUUUGGAAAGAGAAUUAAAAGAGUUUGCAUUUGCUUGGCAUAAAACAAAUUAAUGUUGUCAUGGCCAAAAGAUUGUUGCAUUUCUGGGUGUGUGCCAACAUUGCUCAGCAAGUGUAAUGCUUCUUUCCCCCCACAAAGCUGUUGCAUUCAUGGAUCAUUCUUGUUUGGUGCUGGCAAUAUGUGUUGCAUAGUGGUGCUCUGUUUGCAUUUCUGAUUUCUGAUGUUAUGCGCACGCCUUUUGAAGCUGGACAGACAUGGCUGGGUGGUUUGUGUAUCUUCUUGGAGGAGUGGCUUGUGUGCUGACAAAGAAGGUUGCUUGACCCGUCUUGAAACACGGACCAAGGAGUCUAACAGACGUGCAAAAGAAUGAUUUAAAAUGUGGCAAAACUGAAAGGAAGAGUUAGCAUGUGUGCUCCAACGGCCAAAUGCUUGGUAGACACGCAUUUGAAUUUGAGCAUGUUUGUUAGGACCC